AAAUUUAAAUAAAUAACUCUUCCUUUUUCUAAAUUUGAACCAAUAACCCUACCUUUUUCUAAAUUUAAAUAAAUAACUCUUCCUUUUUCUAAAUAUGAAUCAAUAACCCUACCUUUUUCUAAAUUUAAAUAAAUAACUCUUCCUUUUUCUAAAUUUGAAUCAAUAACCUUUUUUUUGUGUGCUGGUGGUGUUAAUUACCACAGGUUUGUGUAUGCGUCUAGUGCGGUUGGGAGUCAUAGACUUGCGCUGCCGCUGGAUAGCUUAUAUUCAUAGGUGAAAAGAAAGCUGAGUGCGUAAGUCUUUCCUGCCAGUACAUAGCCUCUGCACUAACAAGACUUCUACAGUGCCUCCUCGCGACAGCACAUGGUAACUAGGAUUAAGUAUCCUAGGCUUCACUGUAGAGGAUCUCGGAGUAGCAAGGACCCUAGAGAUGCAGUGUGUAGGCCCAUCGAUGUGUGGACAUGCCCUAGCACUCAUCAACCUUGCCCCAGUUAUGGGUAAAUAGCCGGCUGGAUGAUGGUCAUCAGCCUUGAAAGACAAUUUGUCUAGGAGAGAGAACUCUUGAUAUAAAAUUCUGGGUAGAUUUGACUUGUCAGCCUUGGUCUGCAAUUGAUCUAAAGGAAAGAAACCUUGAGUAAAGAUUCUCUGGUUCUUCAGGUUAGGGAUUGAGAGAUAGGCCAACAACCUAUCCUCGUAAAAACCAUAAUGUUACAGAAAAGCAAAAUCCAUUUGCGCCCUAUGUGACACUUGGCGAUUACUGGAGUUGUAAGUUGUAUAGUAGACAGUAAGAAUAGCAGACAAUAAAAUACUCAAAUGAUAGAUCUGAAAGGAAUAUAGACUUAAUCAGCUGUGAACCUGAGAAUGUGAAGGAUAGUCAUUUAUUAGGAUGUGACCAGUAUUCUUGUGUAUGGACAGUUGGAGAAGGAUAUAUAUACUGAUUAAUCUCCCAGAUAAGGAACAUCACAACCGGGUCUGCAUGAAGCUUUAACAUUCAAAAGACAAGUUAUCCAGGAUAUUUUGCAAACACGUAAAUGAUUUAUUGAAGUAAAAUCUAAGGAAAGUAGGACCUGGAUGUAAAAUAAUACCAACUUUAAGACAAACUGCUUGUUAAUUUAGAAAUCAACUAUUGCAGAAGAACGGAUUCUGUUGAUCAGACAAACUUGGAAACACUUAUUGACAAAAAAUAUAUGUAGUAAUACAAUUAUGUUUAGAGAGAGAUAGAGAGAGGGAGAGAGCCAGUUGUAAAGAUUUAUUCUUUCAAACCAGAUAUGUUGAUUUACAUUUGAAUUUCAUAUGCCUACAGUUCCCCCUAAAUGGUCUUAGUUAAAACAUGUACUAGGUGUUUAAUGUAAGACUUUGAUGUGACUUGUGAGAACAACCAGCUGCCAUUGGUUUAAAUCUAUUUUUAUGCCCUU
Mytilus californianus (California mussel) is the source of this 1415-nucleotide long non-coding RNA. RefSeq lists it as uncharacterized. Lineage: Eukaryota; Metazoa; Mollusca; Bivalvia; Mytilida; Mytilidae. The record is from RefSeq and is a predicted model, not a curated record. The transcript has 3 exons.